This 451-nucleotide ribosomal RNA is filed under the name uncultured organism. RNAcentral describes it as "partial 16S ribosomal RNA". It matches the Rfam family "Bacterial small subunit ribosomal RNA", at positions 333 to 800 of the family's 1533-position model. The record is from RNAcentral.
ACACUCCUGCGGGAGGCAGCAGUGGGGAAUAUUGGACAAUGGGCGCAAGCCUGAUCCAGCCAUGCCGCGUGAGUGAUGAAGGCCCUAGGGUUGUAAAGCUCUUUCACCGGAGAAGAUAAUGACGGUAUCCGGAGAAGAAGCCCCGGCUAACUUCGUGCCAGCAGCCGCGGUAAUACGAAGGGGGCUAGCGUUGUUCGGAAUUACUGGGCGUAAAGCGCACGUAGGCGGAUCGAUCAGUCAGGGGUGAAAUCCCAGGGCUCAACCCUGGAACUGCCUUUGAUACUGUCGAUCUGGAGUAUGGAAGAGGUGAGUGGAAUUCCGAGUGUAGAGGUGAAAUUCGUAGAUAUUCGGAGGAACACCAGUGGCGAAGGCGGCUCACUGGUCCAUUACUGACGCUGAGGUGCGAAAGCGUGGGGAGCAAACAGGAUUAGAUACCCUAGUAGUCCCAUGA